RNAcentral lists this ribosomal RNA (435 nucleotides) under uncultured Saccharofermentans sp. RNAcentral's name for it is "partial 16S ribosomal RNA". It matches the Rfam family "Bacterial small subunit ribosomal RNA", at positions 341 to 792 of the family's 1533-position model. Lineage: Bacteria; Bacillati; Bacillota; Clostridia; Eubacteriales; Oscillospiraceae. The record is from RNAcentral.
ACGGAAGGCAGCAGUGGGGAAUAUUGGGCAAUGGGCGCAAGCCUGACCCAGCAACGCCGCGUGAAGGAUGAAGGUCUUCGGAUUGUAAACUUCUUUGAUCAGGGACGAAUUUUAACGGUACCUGAAGAACAAGUCACGGCUAACUACGUGCCAGCAGCCGCGGUAAUACGUAGGUGACACGCGUUAUCCGGAUUUACUGGGUGUAAAGGGCGUGUAGGCGGUUUGCCAAGUCAGAAGUGAAAUUCCCGGGCUUAACUUAGGAGCUGCUUCUGAAACUGCUAAUCUUGAGUACUGGAGAGGAUAGUGGAAUUCCUAGUGUAGCGGUAAAAUGCGCAGAUAUUAGGAGGAACACCGGUGGCGAAGGCGGCUAUCUGGACAGUAACUGACGCUGAGGCUCGAAAGCGUGGGGAGCAAACAGGAUUAGAUACCCUGGUA